GAGCCAAUGAGGAUUUACAUAUUAAUGUUGGAAUUACCGACUGAUAUACCUUGAUGUCAACCCAUCGACCAUCUGAGGCUUCUU
Daucus carota subsp. sativus is the source of this 84-nucleotide non-coding RNA. Lineage: Eukaryota; Viridiplantae; Streptophyta; Magnoliopsida; Apiales; Apiaceae. The record is from Rfam.